RNAcentral lists this long non-coding RNA (798 nucleotides) under Oreochromis niloticus (Nile tilapia). Its description in RNAcentral is "lncRNA (ENSONIG00000036730.1)". Lineage: Eukaryota; Metazoa; Chordata; Actinopteri; Cichliformes; Cichlidae. The record is from RNAcentral.
UUUAUGUUUAGAGUCAGAAAAAUUACACAUACAAUGAUAUUUAUAAAGUUGUACCAUUGCAGCAUAUUCUUCAGGAGAGACCCAUUCAGAUGAUUCCAGUUCCACUCCUGACUUACUCCUGCUGUGGAUUGUGUUGCCUCUUUUAGUGAUAAUAUUGAUUCUGCUGGUAGUCAGAUUUCUUAAUACUUGCAAACACAGAGUUUCCUCAAAGACAUCAACAGCAGCAUCAAACUCAGAUGAAGACCAUCCAGGAGAUGAUUCUUCCCCUUCAGACGAUAUGUCGGAACAACUUGUUUACACCACUGUGACCAUAAACAAGACAGAACAAACUCAAGAACUGGGUUCGUAUGUUAUGGACAUUUGGUUAUUUUAUUGGAUUUUUUUAUUUAUUUAUUUCCUUUUACAAAUUUAUGCCAGAACAGUUAAGUCACAUUUCACAAAUAUUUUCAUUGAUCUUAUAUUAAAAAUGUAAUGCUUGUUUCCUAAAAGAAAAUACAUAUUCCCAAUUUCAAUGGCAGAUUCAGGAUUAUCACGCUCUACACUGACACAGAGUCCCCCAGCAGUUGAAGAUUUGAGUUCUCCAGAGACAGUCAUUUAUUCAUCCAUCCAAACAGUAAGACUAUUUUGUGCCUACAGUGAGCUGUAUUUUAGAAUUUGCUAAAUAAUAUUUUUAAUGUAAAUACAUAUUUAAUUUUAUUACUGUAAACCAUCUUUUUCUUUUAUCCCCUUAAGUUUAUGUGAUUUGCUCUGGUAUCAUCAUUAGACCCAAGUUAUAUAGUUUUUGUUUAUUCCACCUAC